This 1369-nucleotide ribosomal RNA is filed under the name uncultured bacterium. RNAcentral describes it as "bacterial SSU rRNA". It matches the Rfam family "Bacterial small subunit ribosomal RNA", at positions 28 to 1381 of the family's 1533-position model. The record is from RNAcentral.
GACGAACGCUGGCGGCGUGCCUAAUACAUGCAAGUAGAACGCUGAAGAGAGGAGCUUGCUCUUCUUGGAUGAGUUGCGAACGGGUGAGUAACGCGUAGGUAACCUGCCUGGUAGCGGGGGAUAACUAUUGGAAACGAUAGCUAAUACCGCAUAAAAUUGAUUAUUGCAUGAUAAUUAAUUGAAAGAUGCAAUUGCAUCACUACCUGAUGGACCUGCGUUGUAUUAGCUAGUUGGUGAGGUAACGGCUCACCAAGGCGACGAUACAUAGCCGACCUGAGAGGGUGAUCGGCCACACUGGGACUGAGACACGGCCCAGACUCCUACGGGAGGCAGCAGUAGGGAAUCUUCGGCAAUGGGGGGAACCCUGACCGAGCAACGCCGCGUGAGUGAAGAAGGUUUUCGGAUCGUAAAGCUCUGUUGUAAGAGAAGAACGGGUGUGAGAGUGGAAAGUUCACACUGUGACGGUAUCUUACCAGAAAGGGACGGCUAACUACGUGCCAGCAGCCGCGGUAAUACGUAGGUCCCGAGCGUUGUCCGGAUUUAUUGGGCGUAAAGCGAGCGCAGGCGGUUAGAUAAGUCUGAAGUUAAAGGCUGUGGCUUAACCAUAGUAUGCUUUGGAAACUGUUUAACUUGAGUGCAGAAGGGGAGAGUGGAAUUCCAUGUGUAGCGGUGAAAUGCGUAGAUAUAUGGAGGAACACCGGUGGCGAAAGCGGCUCUCUGGUCUGUAACUGACGCUGAGGCUCGAAAGCGUGGGGAGCAAACAGGAUUAGAUACCCUGGUAGUCCACGCCGUAAACGAUGAGUGCUAGGUGUUAGGCCCUUUCCGGGGCUUAGUGCCGCAGCUAACGCAUUAAGCACUCCGCCUGGGGAGUACGACCGCAAGGUUGAAACUCAAAGGAAUUGACGGGGGCCCGCACAAGCGGUGGCGCAUGUGGUUUAAUUCGAAGCAACGCGAAGAACCUUACCAGGUCUUGACAUCCCUCUGACCGCUCUAGAGAUAGAGUUUUCCUUCGGGACAGAGGUGACAGGUGGUGCAUGGUUGUCAUCAGCUCGUGUCGUGAGAUGUUGGGUUAAGUCCCGCAACGAGCGCAACCCCUAUUGUUAGUUGCCAUCAUUGAGUUGGGCACUCUAGCGAGACUGCCGGUAAUAAACCGGAGGAAGGUGGGGAUGACGUCAAAUCAUCAUGCCCCUUAUGACCUGGGCUACACACGUGCUACAAUGGCUGGUACAACGAGUCGCAAGCCGGUGACGGCAAGCUAAUCUCUGAAAGCCAGUCUCAGUUCGGAUUGUAGGCUGCAACUCGCCUACAUGAAGUCGGAAUCGCUAGUAAUCGCGGAUCAGCACGCCGCGGUGAAUACGUUCCCGGGCCU